UUGAAGAGUUUGAUCAUGGCUCAGAUUGAACGCUGGCGGCAGGCCUAACACAUGCAAGUCGAGCGGAAACGAGUUAUCUGAACCUUCGGGGAACGAUAACGGCGUCGAGCGGCGGACGGGUGAGUAAUGCCUAGGAAAUUGCCCUGAUGUGGGGGAUAACCAUUGGAAACGAUGGCUAAUACCGCAUAAUGCCUACGGGCCAAAGAGGGGGACCUUCGGGCCUCUCGCGUCAGGAUAUGCCUAGGUGGGAUUAGCUAGUUGGUGAGGUAAUGGCUCACCAAGGCGACGAUCCCUAGCUGGUCUGAGAGGAUGAUCAGCCACACUGGAACUGAGACACGGUCCAGACUCCUACGGGAGGCAGCAGUGGGGAAUAUUGCACAAUGGGCGCAAGCCUGAUGCAGCCAUGCCGCGUGUGUGAAGAAGGCCUUCGGGUUGUAAAGCACUUUCAGUCGUGAGGAAGGUAGUGUAGUUAAUAGCUGCAUUAUUUGACGUUAGCGACAGAAGAAGCACCGGCUAACUCCGUGCCAGCAGCCGCGGUAAUACGGAGGGUGCGAGCGUUAAUCGGAAUUACUGGGCGUAAAGCGCAUGCAGGUGGUUUGUUAAGUCAGAUGUGAAAGCCCGGGGCUCAACCUCGGAAUAGCAUUUGAAACUGGCAGACUAGAGUACUGUAGAGGGGGGUAGAAUUUCAGGUGUAGCGGUGAAAUGCGUAGAGAUCUGAAGGAAUACCGGUGGCGAAGGCGGCCCCCUGGACAGAUACUGACACUCAGAUGCGAAAGCGUGGGGAGCAAACAGGAUUAGAUACCCUGGUAGUCCACGCCGUAAACGAUGUCUACUUGGAGGUUGUGGCCUUGAGCCGUGGCUUUCGGAGCUAACGCGUUAAGUAGACCGCCUGGGGAGUACGGUCGCAAGAUUAAAACUCAAAUGAAUUGACGGGGGCCCGCACAAGCGGUGGAGCAUGUGGUUUAAUUCGAUGCAACGCGAAGAACCUUACCUACUCUUGACAUCCAGAGAACUUUCCAGAGAUGGAUUGGUGCCUUCGGGAACUCUGAGACAGGUGCUGCAUGGCUGUCGUCAGCUCGUGUUGUGAAAUGUUGGGUUAAGUCCCGCAACGAGCGCAACCCUUAUCCUUGUUUGCCAGCGAGUAAUGUCGGGAACUCCAGGGAGACUGCCGGUGAUAAACCGGAGGAAGGUGGGGACGACGUCAAGUCAUCAUGGCCCUUACGAGUAGGGCUACACACGUGCUACAAUGGCGCAUACAGAGGGCAGCAAGCUAGCGAUAGUGAGCGAAUCCCAAAAAGUGCGUCGUAGUCCGGAUUGGAGUCUGCAACUCGACUCCAUGAAGUCGGAAUCGCUAGUAAUCGUGGAUCAGAAUGCCACGGUGAAUACGUUCCCGGGCCUUGUACACACCGCCCGUCACACCAUGGGAGUGGGCUGCAAAAGAAGUAGGUAGUUUAACCUUCGGGAGGACGCUUACCACUUUGUGGUUCAUGACUGGGGUGAAGUCGUAACAAGGUAGCGCUAGGGGAACCUGGCGCUGGAUCACCUCCUU
Molecule: ribosomal RNA, 1549 nt
Filed under: Vibrio sp. B1ASS3
Lineage: Bacteria; Pseudomonadati; Pseudomonadota; Gammaproteobacteria; Vibrionales; Vibrionaceae
Description: bacterial SSU rRNA
Rfam family: Bacterial small subunit ribosomal RNA
Source: RNAcentral